UAAGUUUUUUUAUUUGUAGACACGGGUUUUACUAAGUUAGAUUGUUUUUCAAUAUAAAAUCAAUGAUCGGUACAUAUUCCUUAUAUAUUAUUUAAAUUUUUUUAUCUAAUAUUUAAUUGGAAUUUUGUUUUGAAUAUACUUCUUCAUGAUUCUUUAAACAUUAAUUUUGAAAUAACGAAUAUGGAUCAAUAAACUACUUUUAC
RNAcentral lists this long non-coding RNA (203 nucleotides) under Brassica rapa (field mustard). RNAcentral's name for it is "long non-coding RNA (BRAP_LNC005509)". Lineage: Eukaryota; Viridiplantae; Streptophyta; Magnoliopsida; Brassicales; Brassicaceae. The record is from RNAcentral.